RNAcentral lists this small RNA (2542 nucleotides) under Rattus norvegicus (Norway rat). RNAcentral describes it as "uncharacterized LOC102550409". Lineage: Eukaryota; Metazoa; Chordata; Mammalia; Rodentia; Muridae. The record is from RNAcentral.
AACCGCAAAGCUGUGUGCCUCCAAGGAACGCACGACAUGCCGUAAAACGCACAACGCAAAGCAUGUUAUUCUUUACAGCCAUCUUGGCGAUGCUGUUAGUGACACCAGACAGGGAGAUGAACAUUGGGGGCCAGUGAGAAGUCUCUCUGGGUAAGGACGCAUGCCAGCAAGCUAUGACCUGGGCUUGAUGUCUGGAACCCACACAGUAGAAGGAGAGAACUGACUCUCACAGGCUGCCCCCCUGAUCUCAAGAGGCUGUGGCAUGCAGGGUUGCUGUUGCUAUCUGAGGACUUAAUUCUUCAGGUGAAGAGAGCGGGAUGGAGCUUGGAGGGCAGGAAUUCUGGGACUCAACUGGAUUCUGUCAGAGAGGAAGGGAUGUGCUGAGCUCUGCAAACCUCCUUCCGCUAUUGACAGCGGAGCCUGCUGGUGAGGGACGGGUGACCUUCACCUGCUCUGCCUUAGUCAAUAACAACCCAGAGACAAACAGUCGCUUCAUCUACAACAACCACUUAAUUUUGUGCCCCACUCUAUUUACAGUCAGAAAAAAGAAAAGCAAACCAAAUUCUGUGAUAUGUAUUUUUUUUUCUUCAGUCAAGGAUGUACCACAAAUGUCAACAAAGUGUCCUUUUGGUCAAUACUUGCUAGGGAAAGUACAGUGUGUUCUUGGGAUGAUUAUGGUACACAAGGCUUCUCACAAACUAAUGAAAACAUCGAACUUGUUACAUAUUUAUACACAAGUACUUUGGGAUGUUGUAGGAAGGCGAACUCCACAGAUCUACAUUCUAAUAAAGCCCCAUUCACACAUAAACACAUACACACAUAACUUUUUUGUAUUUACAUCAGCCAUGGGUGGAAUUUUCUGCCCAGUCCUGGGGGUGGGGGCAGCUUUAAAUAUUUCAUGGGAAAAUAAGAGUGCUUCUUUACUCCCUUAAGACGAAACGGAAUGGAUAAAUAAUGCAUAUGUCUGAGGCCAGUUUUAAAAACCUCGUGAUUUGUACUGACUGAGGGGAACCAACCGACACGUGAAGCCAGAAACUAUGAAAAUUGAAAGGGAAAUAGGUGGAAAAUUCCACAAGCCUAAAUCCCAGCUCCCAGGACGGCAGGAUUGUCACCUGAGAGGCAUCUGCUGAAUUUUUGGCAGCCUUGCAUUACCUUGCUUUGAAGACAGAGUGUAAUAUCAAGGGCUUCCAGAAGGAGACUGAAUUAUAUUUGCUGGGAGACUUCUUGGUACCAUCAAUUUAUCUAAAUCUAAGUGAACAGCCAAUAUCGAGAAAGACGUCAACCCCGGAAGCUUCCCCUAGUGGACAGUAUUAACUGGGGACAAGCAGCUAAGGUGCCCAUUUGACAUAAUCAAAGUGGACCUGGGCUGUCAGGUUCUCCCAGCAUCCUUCAGUCCCUACUCCUCAGGGUAUAGUUGACAAACCCCCACGACCUCUACUCUGAAAGGUCCAGCCCAGGGGCUGGGCUGCCUACCCCCCAGAAGCUCUUCUCUGUGUAGCCCAGACUUUAGCUUUCCAGCUGCUGCUCUUGGUUUCCUUUUCCCCCCUCUCCCUACAUGGUACAGGGUCAUGAACUCUAUGGACUCUCCCAGAUGCCUCUCCCACAUAUCUAUAAUAAUUUUUUCCUCCACCAUACCUAGGAGCAGUCACAGUCUGUUCUUUCCUAUUCUUUUUUUUUUUUUUUCAUUCAGAGAGCACUGUCUUUUGGUGGGGAGGGGAAACCUACCCUCAAAUCUGCAUUACAGAGUUCUUGUAACCAUGGGUCCAGGCAGACAGAUUGUUACUGCAAAGGUUUUCUGCGCUAGUUUGUACACCACCUGAGGAAUACAGGGGAAGGUUCACCUACAGUAGAAGUUGGGACUUCCCACAGCGGGAACAAUGUCAGGCAUUGUAAUAAAUGUGUCCUUCGGACCUUCAUCAAGUGCAGAAACAUUUCAUGUAUGAGGAGGGUGGGGCCGAUAAACUCUCAGAGAGGUGAGUUCAGUUACCUUGACUGCCACAAUGUGUUACUUUCUAGGCAUAAGAAACAUUCUAUCUGAGUCUUUUCUAUUCUAGGGAAUGAAUACUUUAAAACCAGUGUUUAAAACAAGUAUUUUUACAAGUCUUUUCUUUUACACUCCUACCCCACACUGGGAAAACAUUUCUGUAAAUGUUUUAUCCUUCUUCCCCACCCAGUAAAGAUUUUGUGCCUGCUGUGUUCUGGGCACUUGAUGUAGACCUGUGAUCCCUUUCUCCCAGGAGCAGUAAACCCGAUUUCCCAUUUCCUGUGCUCACAGUCUUAAAAGAUUAGUCAAUCACAAAAGACUGUGAAGUCGCCAAUCAUAAAAGACUGUGAAGUCGGAUUCUAACCAACAGGGAAAAGACACAGGCACUACUUACAUUAGAAUAAAAAUCCAAGAACAAUUCCCAUCCCGGUGUGUUUGCUCUUCCCAUUGGCGAGCAAUGUUCCCUGUUGAUUAAGAGUAAAGUUUUACCUUAACUUCAUUUAGAAGGGCUAUCCCAUUCUUAGUUCUAAAGUAGGCAUCUGAAGUAGCUUUUGAGGA